AUUCGGGCUUAAGGAUGAUGUUGCAAGCCGCACACACAUCCGGCCUCUAGGAGUCAUCCACACGAGCCCAUGAAUCUCGAUCAGAAGUCCUGCUUCAGGAAAUCAGCACAGUAUGCUAGUACUGUGCUGAUCCUUCUUUGAUGGUUGAUCAGAUGCCUCCUUCUUCUUGAUUUGGACUCUUCCAAAGAUGGAAAGUAAAAGG
RNAcentral lists this long non-coding RNA (202 nucleotides) under Elaeis guineensis (African oil palm). RNAcentral's name for it is "long non-coding RNA (EGUI_LNC055067)". The record is from RNAcentral. Lineage: Eukaryota; Viridiplantae; Streptophyta; Magnoliopsida; Arecales; Arecaceae.